This 491-nucleotide ribosomal RNA is filed under the name uncultured bacterium. RNAcentral's name for it is "bacterial SSU rRNA". It matches the Rfam family "Bacterial small subunit ribosomal RNA", at positions 28 to 507 of the family's 1533-position model. The record is from RNAcentral.
GAUGAACGCUAGCUACAGGCUUAACACAUGCAAGUCGCGGGGCAGCAUGAAUUUAGCUUGCUAAAUUUGAUGGCGACCGGCGCACGGGUGAGUAACGCGUAUCCAACCUUCCCCUGUCCACGGGAUAGCCCGUCGAAAGGCGGAUUAAUACCGUAUGAGGUCACACGAUGGCAUCAGACUGGUGACGAAAGGUUUGGCGGACAGGGAUGGGGAUGCGUCCGAUUAGGUAGUCGGCGGGGUAACGGCCCACCGAGCCGACGAUCGGUAGGGGUUCUGAGAGGAAGGUCCCCCACAUUGGAACUGAGACACGGUCCAAACUCCUACGGGAGGCAGCAGUGAGGAAUAUUGGUCAAUGGGCGAGAGCCUGAACCAGCCAAGUAGCGUGCAGGAUGACGGCCCUAUGGGUUGUAAACUGCUUUUAUAGGGGAAUAAAGUGAGCCACGUGUGGUUUUUUGCAUGUACCCUAUGAAUAAGGACCGGCUAAUUCCGUG